RNAcentral lists this transfer RNA (73 nucleotides) under Phycisphaerae bacterium. Its description in RNAcentral is "tRNA-His". It matches the Rfam family "tRNA". Rfam says of the family: Transfer RNA (tRNA) molecules are approximately 80 nucleotides in length. Their secondary structure includes four short double-helical elements and three loops (D, anti-codon, and T loops). Further hydrogen bonds mediate the characteristic L-shaped molecular structure. tRNAs have two regions of fundamental functional importance: the anti-codon, which is responsible for specific mRNA codon recognition, and the 3' end, to which the tRNAs corresponding amino acid is attached (by aminoacyl-tRNA synthetases). tRNAs cope with the degeneracy of the genetic code in two manners: having more than one tRNA (with a specific anti-codon) for a particular amino acid; and 'wobble' base-pairing, i.e. permitting non-standard base-pairing at the 3rd anti-codon position. The record is from RNAcentral. Lineage: Bacteria; Pseudomonadati; Planctomycetota; Phycisphaerae.
GCGACUGUAGCUCAGUUGGCAGAGCACCUGGUUGUGGUCCAGGAAGGCGGGGGUUCGAGUCCCCUCAGUCGCC